This is a long non-coding RNA of Mytilus californianus (California mussel), 1252 nucleotides long. RefSeq lists it as uncharacterized. The transcript is spliced from 2 exons. The record is from RefSeq and is a predicted model, not a curated record. Lineage: Eukaryota; Metazoa; Mollusca; Bivalvia; Mytilida; Mytilidae.
UGUGAGCCGUAUACGUCAGUCGGAUAUUAAAUUAUAUCUUUGUCUUAUUAUCAUUAUUUAGUGGUAACAUAAUCUAGUUACAAUAUAUGUAUAUUUUUUUGUUAAAGUUUACCAAGAAACAUAUUUACUUCCUAGAAUUUUUAGUUCCUUGUGCGGUCUUAAGGGGGAAAUUAUUUUUUAAUACAUCCAUGAUAUAUAUGUUAUGAAGGUCAUUCACGUUGUUAUGUCAUUAAUUACGGGCGCUAAUAUGUACUAUUUAAAACAAUUAAAACAAGAUACUAUUUAUAUUCUACACAAGAGGAUGUAAAUUUCAUACAAUAAAAAUGCAUUGGACAGAUAAGAUCGUGUUUUUUGUUUCAUAUGUGAGUUUAUUAAACGGGAUUUAUGCCGCAACACCUUCAAGCUGUUCUGAUAUUCGUGUAGUAGACCUAUCUCAUGUACAUGGACCCAAACCUCUCACUGCUCCAUUCUUUCCAGCAUACAGUUUUGAAAUUGUAAACAGAUCUAUCAGCCAGGCACUUGGGGGUAAUUGGUUUGAGACUAACUAUAUUGGUACAUCUGAACACAGUGGAACCCACAUAGAUGCUCCUUCUCACUUCUACAGAAACAGAAAACGCAUGCACGAGAUUCCACUGGACAAGUUAUAUGGGCCUGGAGUUAUAAUAGAUAUUAGGAGACAGGUUUCGGGAAACGUGAAUUACAGAGUAAAAGUAUCGGACAUAAAACGAUGGGAGGCAACUCAUGGCCGAAUACCGAAGGGGGCAGUCAUUCUGUUUAAUUCCGGCUGGUCUAGUAGAUACCCAGAUCCAUUUAAAGUGUUCAAUACUCAAAACACUUCUGAUGUUUCAUCAUACCAAUUUCCAUCCUAUGAAUUCAAAGCAAUUACAUUUUUAGCGAAAUUUCGUUCUGUUAACAUUGUGGGAAGUGACACUCCGUCUAUUGGCGACUCACCUCCGGGUAAAGUUGAUUUGUCAAAUUUUACAUUUCUAUUUCAAAGAAACAUACCUGUGGUGUUGAAUGUUGCCAAUCUUGACAGACUCCCUCUUUCAGGAUCGACAAUAUUUGUCCCUGCUAUCAACAUAUACGAUGGAAGUGGUGCACCGGCCAGAAUUUUUGCAACAGUUCCAGCGUCAAAAAUGAAAAAUAUAUAUUAAAUAAAACGUAAUGAUUAACAUUAAAAUUUUGUACAAUGAUUAACAUUUAAAAUCGUUUCCUUUUGUUGACUUAAUUUGCCAUUAAAACUUUUUUUAUU